CGUUUUUGUAUUAAAGGCCAAACUAAGCAACAUUAUAAUAAGAACAGAUGUGUGACUGAGCAAGAGAGCGAGCUUGACAG
Molecule: long non-coding RNA, 80 nt
Organism: Sinocyclocheilus rhinocerous
Lineage: Eukaryota; Metazoa; Chordata; Actinopteri; Cypriniformes; Cyprinidae
Exons: 3
Source: RefSeq, a predicted model, not a curated record